RNAcentral lists this ribosomal RNA (323 nucleotides) under uncultured eukaryote. RNAcentral describes it as "partial 18S ribosomal RNA". It matches the Rfam family "Eukaryotic small subunit ribosomal RNA", at positions 1470 to 1796 of the family's 1831-position model. The record is from RNAcentral.
CCCUUAGAUGUUCUGGGCCGCACGCGUGCUACACUGAGUGGAUCAGCGGGUCAGGUUGCGCGAAAGCGUUUCCUAAUCUUUAAAUCCGCUCGUGAUGGGGAUUGACGGUUGCAAUUUUCUGUCAUGAACGAGGAAUACCUUGUAAGCGCGGGUCAUCAUCCCGCGCUGAAUACGUCCCUGCCCUUUGUACACACCGCCCGUCGCUCCUACCGAUUGGAUUGGCUGGUGAAGCGUUCGGAUUGUGGGUUCGGAGCGGUUCGCCGUUCUGGGCUUGCGAGAAGUUCGUUAAACCCUCCUAUCUAGAGGAAGGAGAAGUCGUAACA